UACAGAGGGGGCAAGCGUUGUUCGGAAUUACUGGGCGUAAAGGGCGCGUAGGCGGCCGCCUAAGUCAGACGUGAAAUCCCUCGGCUUAACCGGGGAACUGCGUCUGAUACUGGAUGGCUUGAGAUUGGGAGAGGGAUGCGGAAUUCCAGGUGUAGCGGUGAAAUGCGUAGAUAUCUGGAGGAACACCGGUGGCGAAGGCGGCAUCCUGGACCAACACUGACGCUGAGGAGCGAAAGCCAGGGGAGCAAACGGG
RNAcentral lists this ribosomal RNA (253 nucleotides) under uncultured bacterium. RNAcentral describes it as "partial 16S ribosomal RNA". It matches the Rfam family "Bacterial small subunit ribosomal RNA", at positions 524 to 776 of the family's 1533-position model. The record is from RNAcentral.